Long non-coding RNA from Passer domesticus (house sparrow), 3669 nucleotides. RefSeq lists it as uncharacterized. The transcript is spliced from 2 exons. NCBI's taxonomy places the organism in Eukaryota, Metazoa, Chordata, Aves, Passeriformes, Passeridae. The record is from RefSeq and is a predicted model, not a curated record.
CCCCGGUCCGGCCCUUUUCCCUUCCCGGCUCCUUCCCUUUCCCGGCCCUUUUCCCUUCCCGGCUCCUUCCCUUUCCCGGCCCUUUUCCCUUCCCGCCCGGCCCCGGGCAGCGCCGGGGCUGCCGCUCUCCUCCGCGCGGCGCUGGAGGCCAGGAGCGCUUCCCUGCGAGCUCCUCUGUCAGAGCAGAGCUUUGUAUUCCCGAGAGACGGCGCUGACGGCCCCCGCCCCACACACACAGAGCCGGGAGUGCCGGUGUCGCGGCGAGUGGCCCGCUUUGUGAGGCCAAGCCUCGCACGGAGAGUGAGUGGUUGGUGAGGAAAUCCAUAGCAUUUCGUUCUGUUUCAUCAGCAUCCCCGCCAGCCCCGGCUGUGCGUGCCCUCACGCAAGGUCAGUCCUCGCUUGUCUGCACAAGCCAGUCCCUGAUGCUCUGUGCAAUACAAACCAUAAGGGCAUGCGUUUAAAAAUUAUUCUGAGUUUAAUAUUCAAGGUUUAUUUUAAAAAUAGCGAGUAAAACCCCACCCUAGCAAGUGUUUGGAGCAAAAUAAUUUUGAAGUAGGUAGGCAGCCCUUCCAGGUCUGAAAGGCAGGACUGGGGCACCCGUGAGCUUGGCGCGCAGAGGGCACGAACCGCUGUGCUGAUGGCAAACAGAGCUAGCUCAGGUUUCAAGGGUUACUGAGUCGGUGUUGACUCUGUUUGCGAAGAAAACAAAAAAGACACUGUUACCUCGUAGAUGGCUGAUAAAUACAUCUCCCUUACAAGCAAGUAAACAUUUUGGAAGACCGGAGUGAUUCAUAUUAUUUCUGUAGGGUAAGUGAGAAGAAAAUUAUUUGAAAGCUGUUCCAUUUCUCUAAAAUACAUGGCAGAAACGAGUACAGAGUAAAGAGGGGUGAAUUGCUUCUGUCGGUGUGCAAGCACGACGAAGCAGCGAGGCACCGCGAGCCAUUCACCUCCCUCACACAACCGAGGAACGAAUGGCUGCAGCUGUGGGUGUUCUGUGGGAAAUGGAGGAGCUGCUCGCUGCCUGGCGCUGUCCCUGCUCCCGCCGCACUUCGGGGAUAACAUACCCAGGGUGAGAAAAGCUUCCUGAAAACACUACAGCUGCUGAGAAUGGAAGCUAUUCUGAAGUGUUAAUCAAGUCACAAAAGAUGGAGUCCACCUGGUUUCCUUGUGAUUCAGACAGACUGUAUCUCCUCAAAAAAGCAGGUGGGGCAAUAUGCAGCAUUUACACCAAAACUGAUGUUUUUAAACCACAUAGAAAACAGUGGAAAGAAGCCUAAGUUCCCAGCAGAAGAACAGGAUUCCCUAGCAAGGGAAGAGGGUUUGUGACUGAUGGUGUGUCCUUGCCUGAAGACCCCGCGGGAUGCAGGAUCUGGCACAGUCACGGCCUGGGGCAGCAACAGCACAAGGAUCACCUUGGCUGUGUGGCAUUGCCUUGUCCUUGCUGACAGUGAGAGCCUUGUGGUGCAAGGAUAGAAUGUUCCUGUCAGUCCAGCAAACGUUCCAGUGUGUCCUCCAUUUAAUUAGGCCUAGGAACACUACUUUUCCCCCACAUCCAUAAAUUACUUAUUCCCAUGAAGUGUGACUUCUGCUUUUAAUCACCUAUGUAAACUGUACUAGAUACAGCCAUGCUAAGUUUAACAAAUAGGCAUUUUAUAUUUUAUUUUAUUUAAAUAAUAGGCAUUUUAUAUUGUAAUAAAUAGGCAUUGUAUCAAGGUGCUGAAAACCUGCUGGGCUGAAGGUGGAGCUGGGGGCAGCCAGGUGGUGUGGUGAGGGCUCACAGUGAUCCUGUGCAGUCCAUGUCUUUUAGAGCCAUUAGGGAAAGAAAUGGGGACAUUUUAGGCCUAAACAUUUCUCUGUUAAUUCCUACUGCACCUUGAGAUGGGGUAUAGGCUCUCAGCUGUCUGUAAAUAUUUAAAAUACCUUCUCCUCUUUGCUAUGUGACUGCAGCAGACUGCCUGCCUUAUCCUGGGAGAUAAAGGCGUGCUGGCUGCAGUGGAAGAUAAUGCUUCCCAGGGAGUUUGUGCUUCAUUGCACAAUCAAUUGUCUUGCAAGGUCCUUGGGGUGUGAUUAUCUUCAGUUUCAGCUUGAAGGUGCAGUGCUGUAACUACUGAAGUAAAACUGCAGCAGGGCAGAUUUCAAGAUGUAGGUCUUUUAUACUAAAAAGUGUAUUUUUAUUCAUUUAGCAUCUUGCCUGUCUGUCCAUAGUUCAGGGCAAAUUUAACCCCCAGAGCUGGUUUGUCUUUAGCUCCAGAGCAAGCAGAGAUAACCAAGAGCAAGCACCCCACAGCAAAGGGGAGCAAAAGGCACUGCAGCCAAGCCUGGCAAACAGCUCCUGCUGGAGUGGCUGGGUGAUCAAUGGCAUCUAGGGAGAAGCACGGCUCCAGCUGAGCCCAGUGCUGUGCAGCUGAUCAGAGGGACUUUGUGCUGGCAGGAAAUACAUUGUGGUUCAAACUGUCAGAGCUUCAGUCCCACACUGCAGCAUCCAAUGGAGAGCUGGAAAAUAUUGUGUUACAGUUCUUCACUGUUUCCGCUGGAACAAGCGUUAUAAUGUAUCCAGCAGUGCUGAGUUCCUAUCAGCAGGACUAGGACGGGAAAGAAGCAGAGCUCAAUUCCAGCCAAUGAAGCUUCAGCAGCAAUAAGCCAUGUACUGACUGACUUCACCAGGACCAGCCCAAAAGCACAAGGCACUGUCUGCUCUUAGGCUGCACUGGAUCCCUCUGGGCACCCAGCUUUGAAAGCCUCCUCAGGACAGAUUUGGGUGCUCCUGCAUGUACAACCCUGAAUCCUUGUCAAGGCAAGAGAAGGUGGCCAGGAAUGUGCAAAUUUAAUUGCUUCAGCAUUACCUAAGUCAAGGUAUUGCUAUUUAAGAAUGUGUGUUAAGGGUAAAGGAAACAUAAUUUGUCAAAGCAGGUCUCUCCUGAGUUAAGGGAAAGCUCAAGAAAGCUCUGUGUGUGAGUGUGGUAAUCAGUAACAAAACUUCAUUUAAAAUUAGCAUCAGCCCCAUUUCUGCCUGAUUAACUGCUGGGGGAGGUUUUUUAUUUUCUAUUGGCAAAGUUUAGUGAGUGAUAACGGAGAGUAACCACUAAUUCUUACCUGCUCCAUCUGGGAACUGGCUGAUUCUGUUACAGCACAGACAUGACCAACACCAAGCUCCUUCCAGCUGCUGAGGGACAUAGUUUGUGUGCCUUAACCUUUGUGUUUCAGGGUCUUCAGACAGCAUUUAAAAGAACCCAUGCUAUCUCAGGAGUCCAGUGUGCAAGGGAGCUGGAUAAAGUCCUCAGCAAGAUUGCACCUGCCUGGUAACCAUUUUAAGCUCAUUUCAUACAAACUUGGUGAAAAUAACAUAUUACUACCACUGAAUGUUUCAGGGAGGUCAUUACACAAUUGAGACUCAGUUUCACUGAGCAACAGCAGAAACUGAGACAGAAGCAGAACAGUUUUAUAAGUUUAUUGUAAAGACCUUUACAAUCUCAGUACAGAGAUAAGGAUAUAAAAUGAUGUUGUCUGGAGUAAUUAAGGCUGGUUGGUGGUCAUCCAAAUGUCACUGUUCAGUGGAACUCAAGCAAGAGCAACUGAUUUCUGACUGUACAGAUUUUUAUUUGUGUUCCAUCGUUACAGUGAGAUCGCAAGUUAUUUGAAAGACUCAAUGCCUGUUUAUUAUAAAAUAAA